AACGAACGCUGGCGGCAUGCCUAACACAUGCAAGUCGAACGAGACCUUCGGGUCUAGUGGCGCACGGGUGCGUAACGCGUGGGAACCUGCCCUUAGGUUCGGAAUAACUCCCCGACAGGGGUGCUAAUACCGGAUAAUGUCUUCGGACCAAAGAUUUAUCGCCUUUGGAUGGGCCCGCGUUGGAUUAGCUAGUUGGUAGGGUAAAAGCCUACCAAGGCGACGAUCCAUAGCUGGUCUGAGAGGAUGAUCAGCCACACUGGGACUGAGACACGGCCCAGACUCCUACGGGAGGCAGCAGUGGGGAAUAUUGGACAAUGGGCGAAAGCCUGAUCCAGCAAUGCCGCGUGAGUGAUGAAGGCCGUAGAGUUGUAAAGCUCUUUUACCCGGGAUGAUAAUGACAGUACCGGGAGAAUAAGCACCGGCUAACUCCGUG
This 433-nucleotide ribosomal RNA is filed under the name uncultured bacterium. Its description in RNAcentral is "partial 16S ribosomal RNA". It matches the Rfam family "Bacterial small subunit ribosomal RNA", at positions 29 to 507 of the family's 1533-position model. The record is from RNAcentral.